This 234-nucleotide ribosomal RNA is filed under the name uncultured bacterium. RNAcentral's name for it is "partial 16S ribosomal RNA". It matches the Rfam family "Bacterial small subunit ribosomal RNA", at positions 335 to 587 of the family's 1533-position model. The record is from RNAcentral.
GCCCUACGGGAGGCAGCAGUGGGGGAUAUUGCACAAUGGGGGGAACCCUGAUGCAGCGACGCCGCGUGGGCGAUGGAGUACUUCGGUAUGUAAAGCCCUAUCAGCAGGGAAGAAAAUGACGGUACCUGACUAAGAAGCCCCGGCUAAAUACGUGCCAGCAGCCGCGGUAAUACGUAUGGGGCAAGCGUUAUCCGGAUUUACUGGGUGUAAAGCGAGUGCAGGCGGUUCAAUAAG